Molecule: ribosomal RNA, 376 nt
Filed under: uncultured bacterium
Lineage: Bacteria
Description: bacterial SSU rRNA
Rfam family: Bacterial small subunit ribosomal RNA
Source: RNAcentral
UAAUACGUAGGGUGCGAGCGUUAAUCGGAAUUACUGGGCGUAAAGCGUGCGCAGGCGGCUUACUAAGACAGGUGUGAAAUCCCCGGGCUUAACCUGGGAAUGGCGCUUGUGACUGGUAGGCUAGAGUACGUCAGAGGGGGGUGGAAUUCCACGUGUAGCAGUGAAAUGCGUAGAGAUGUGGAGGAACACCGAUGGCGAAGGCAGCCCCCUGGGAUGAUACUGACGCUCAGGCACGAAAGCGUGGGGAGCAAACAGGAUUAGAUACCCUGGUAGUCCACGCCCUAAACGAUGUCGACUAGUUGUUGGGGAACUUGAUUCUUCAGUAACGCAGCUAACGCGUGAAGUCGACCGCCUGGGGAGUACGGUCGCAAGAUUA